Molecule: ribosomal RNA, 467 nt
Filed under: uncultured bacterium
Lineage: Bacteria
Description: bacterial SSU rRNA
Rfam family: Bacterial small subunit ribosomal RNA
Source: RNAcentral
UCGAGCGGUAGAGAGAAGCUUGCUUCUCUUGAGAGCGGCGGACGGGUGAGUAAUGCCUAGGAAUCUGCCUGGUAGUGGGGGAUAACGUUCGGAAACGGACGCUAAUACCGCAUACGUCCUACGGGAGAAAGCAGGGGACCUUCGGGCCUUGCGCUAUCAGAUGAGCCUAGGUCGGAUUAGCUAGUUGGUGAGGUAAUGGCUCACCAAGGCGACGAUCCGUAGCUGGUCUGAGAGGAUGAUCAGUCACACUGGAACUGAGACACGGUCCAGACUCCUACGGGAGGCAGCAGUGGGGAAUAUUGGACAAUGGGCGAAAGCCUGAUCCAGCCAUGCCGCGUGUGUGAAGAAGGUCUUCGGAUUGUAAAGCACUUUAAGUUGGGAGGAAGGGCAUUAACCUAAUACGUUAGUGUCUUGACGUUACCGACAGAAUAAGCACCGGCUAACUCUGUGCCAGCAGCCGCGGUAAU